CAAAAUAAAACUAAUUAGUUUAGUAUUUCAGUUACGUUGAAACCAGUUAUCGUGCAAAUCGGUAUAUUUUGA
Molecule: transfer RNA, 72 nt
Filed under: Pinnotheres pholadis
Lineage: Eukaryota; Metazoa; Arthropoda; Malacostraca; Decapoda; Pinnotheridae
Description: tRNA-Val
Source: RNAcentral